GGGCUCGUGGUCUAGCUGGUUAUGACGUCGCCUUCACACGGCGGAGAUCCUGAGUUCGAAUCUCAGCGGGCCCA
Molecule: transfer RNA, 74 nt
Organism: Methanospirillum hungatei JF-1
Lineage: Archaea; Methanobacteriati; Methanobacteriota; Methanomicrobia; Methanomicrobiales; Methanospirillaceae
Rfam family: tRNA
About the family: Transfer RNA (tRNA) molecules are approximately 80 nucleotides in length.
Source: Rfam